GCAUGGUGGGGCAGUUGGUAGCACUGUUGCCUUGCACCAAGAAGGUCCUGGGUUUGAAUCCCAGCCUUGGGUCU
Crenichthys baileyi (White River springfish) is the source of this 74-nucleotide non-coding RNA. Lineage: Eukaryota; Metazoa; Chordata; Actinopteri; Cyprinodontiformes; Goodeidae. The record is from the annotation of a GenBank genome assembly.